AAUUAAAAAAUUAUUUAUUUUUUUAUUAAAAAUUUUAUGUUAAUAAAAAUAAUUUUAUUAAAAUUUAUUUUUUAGUAUUAUUUAAUGAACAAAUUAAUUUAAUUAUAAUUUAUUUGUAUAUUAAUAUAAAUAUGAAAUAAUUUGAAAAUUAAAUUUUUAUUAAAGUAAAUUUUAUUUAUUGUACCUUGUGUAUCAGGGUUAAUUAAAAAUAUAAUAUUAAAAUAUAUUAAUCUCGAAUUUAAAAGAUCUAUUUAAUAAAAAUUAUUUUUAAUGUUUAAUAAUUAUCUUUAAUUUUUAAAUAGAAAUGAAAUGUUUUUCGUUUUUAAAGUUAUCUAGUUUUUUAAUAAAUAAAUUUAAUUUAGAUAUUAAAAUUAAUAAUUAUUUUAUUUAAAUAAAAUAAUUAUUUUUAAUAUUAAAGUUUUAAGGGAUUAGCUUUAAUUCUUAUUUUUAUAAUAAAUAUUAUUUAAAAUAAAUAUUUUUUAGGCUUAGAAAUAGUUUUAAUUUAAAAAUUGUAAUAAUUUUAUAUAAUUAUAUAUAUAUAUAUAUAUAUAUAUAUAUUAAAUAAAUAUAUUUUAUUUUUAUUUAAUUUUAUAUUAAAAUAAUUUAAUUAAUAAAAUUUUAAUUUAAAUAAUGAUUAAAUUAGUAAAUAAAAAUGUAUUUUAUAUAAAUUUUUGAAAGUUAAUUAUAAAGAAUUCGGCAAAAAAAUAAUUCGCCUGUUUAACAAAAACAUGUCUUUUUGAUAAAAAUAAAAAGUCUGAUCUGCUCAAUGAUAAUUUUAAAUAGCCGCAGUAUCUUAACUGUGCAAAGGUAGCAUAAUAAUUUGUUCUUUAAUUUAGGACUAGAAUGAAUGAUUUGACGAAAUUAUAGCUGUUUCAUAAUUAAUAAUUAUUGAAUUUAAUUUUUAAGUAAAAAAGCUUAAAUUUUAUUAAAGGACGAGAAGACCCUAUAGAGUUUUAUAAUUCAAUUUAUUUUAUAAAAUAAUUAUUUUUAUUUAAUAAGUUUAAUUAUUUUGUUGGGGUGAUAAUUAAAUUUAAUAAACUUUUUAAAUAUUUUUUACAUUUAUUAGUGAAUUUAUGAUCCUAAUUUAGAUUAAUAGAUUAAAUUACCUUAGGGAUAACAGCGUUAUUUUUUUUAAAGUUCUUAUUAACAUUAAAAAUUGCGACCUCGAUGUUGGAUUAAAAUUUAUUUUAGGUGUAGAUGCUUAAAAAUUUAGGUCUGUUCGACCUUUAAAAUUUUACAUGAUCUGAGUUCAAACCGGUUUAAGCCAGGUUGGUUUCUAUCCUUAAUUUAAAUUAAAAUUUUUAGUACGAGAGGACCAAAAUUUAAAAUUAUUUAAUUUUUAAUAAUGAAUUUUAUUAAUUUU
RNAcentral lists this ribosomal RNA (1363 nucleotides) under Nesodiprion japonicus. RNAcentral's name for it is "16S ribosomal RNA". Lineage: Eukaryota; Metazoa; Arthropoda; Insecta; Hymenoptera; Diprionidae. The record is from RNAcentral.